This 443-nucleotide ribosomal RNA is filed under the name uncultured bacterium. Its description in RNAcentral is "partial 16S ribosomal RNA". It matches the Rfam family "Bacterial small subunit ribosomal RNA", at positions 338 to 795 of the family's 1533-position model. The record is from RNAcentral.
CCUACGGGUGACUGCAGUGGGGAAUAUUGGACAAUGGGCGCAAGCCUGACCCAGCAACGCCGCGUGAGGGAAGAAGGCUUUCGGGUUGUAAACUUCUUUUCUGAGGGACGAAGAAAGUGACGAUACCUCAGGAAUAAGCCGCGGCUAACUACGGGCCAGCAGCCGCCGUACUACGUAGGGGGCAAGCGUUAUUCGGAUUUAUUGGGUGUAAAGGGCGUGUAGGCGGGAAAGCAAGUCAGAUGUGAAAACUCAGGGCUCAACCCUGAGCCUGCAUUUGAAACUGUUGUUCUUGAGUGCGGGAGAGGGAAUCGGAAUUCCGGGUGUAGCGGUGAAAUGCGUAGAUAUACGGAGGAACACCAGUGGCGAAGGCGGAUUGCUGGACAGCAACUGACGCUGAGGCGCGAAAGCGUGGGGAGCAAACAGGAUUAGAUACCCUUGUAGUC